RNAcentral lists this long non-coding RNA (2113 nucleotides) under Olea europaea (common olive). RNAcentral's name for it is "long non-coding RNA (OEUR_LNC014550)". The record is from RNAcentral. Lineage: Eukaryota; Viridiplantae; Streptophyta; Magnoliopsida; Lamiales; Oleaceae.
UUGCUCGUGGGGCUAUAAUUGAUGAGAAGGAGCUGGUGCAGUGUUUGCAGCAAGGACUAAUAGCUGGUGCUGGGUUGGAUGUGUUUGAAAUUGAGCCUCAUGUUCCUCAAGUGCUUUUAACGCUAGAGAACGUUGUAUUGUCACCUCACUGUGCUGCCUUCACCGAGGAAUCUUUUGGGGAUUUAUAUGAACUCAUGUCUGAUAAUUUGGAAGCUUUUUUUUCAAAUAAGCCCUUGCUUUCUCCGGUUUUAGACUAUCAAUCAUAAUCCCCCUCUUACAUAUAUUGCUAUAUUUUCAAGUUUACUCAUGAAGUAAAUUGACUGUGUGCUUAUUAUGUAUUAUCAGAUUUGCCAUUUAGUGACAGACUAUAUAUUUGCUAUUUUUAUUAUUUAAUAUUAUUCGAUACCUUCUAACCCACUUUACCAAGCACACCCCAUAUGUUUUAUUUGUUUCAGAAGUCAUUUUCCGACUAGAAUAACGUCUUUUAUUUGCUGCUGCUUGCCUGCUUCCCAAGACUCGUGGUAAAGAAAAAAGAAGCAUGCUUGGAAGUUGCUUAUAAUUUAUUUAAAGAAUAAUAGAUAAAAAUGUGUGGUUGAUAAGUGUGUAGUACGACGAAACGUGGAUAAAAAUAGUUGGGACAGAUUAUAAACAAGAGGCAAACAAGGGCUAAAAUUUUAUUAAAGAGUUCUGUUUUUGUUAUGGAAGCCUGAUAAUAAUUUCUCUGGUAUCGGGUUAUAAAUAGUAUGUAACAGCUCAAGAAAUUAACGUUGAACUCUCUCUCUCUCUCUAGAUUGAAUAUUCCGUGUUGCAGAACAUGACAGGCAUUAGAACUUGUGCUCCUAAUUUAUUCUAUUUUUGUAUUCUCCCUGUUAAGUUACUGAUUUUUGAAGCUGUGAAUUUUGAUAUUUAGCUAAUUCUUAUGAGUUUUAGAGUGCUUUAAUGUGUAUUUUGAUGUUGUUAUAUAGAUUGAUGAAAUUGAAGGAAAUAAGCAAUAGUUGGAAAAAUUGUUGGGAGGCAUGUUUUUUUUUUUUUUUAUAAUCAUCUUCUCCAGUCAAACUUAACUAUGCUCUGUCUGCUCUUUAUGAACAGUUAUUAAACUGAGAUCUUUCAGUGAAAUUUUAAAUGAAAUGUUAUUGUUUAUUUUUGAUAGAUACUCACUUAAGGAACAGAGGACAAAGAUAUAUACUGGAAUACAGAAGAUGCUGAUUACUUGACUUCUCUUAUUCAAUGAUUUGAGGCCUUUAAAUAGGCUUACAUCAACAUUUAGAAACAAGAAAUAGCAACUGAAAAAAACGUGGAGAAUUGUUCCUGCAGACUCAGUAACAACCAUAUACUUGACAAAUUUUGACUAGGACAAAUAAAACAUAAUGACAUCAACCAAAUGGAAUAAACUCAGACUACAUAUAGUUUUAUUCUACAAGUUUCAGCAUUGAAUGUUUUAAAAAUUGAGCAUGCUACAAAUUGUUUACAAGAAUACAUUAUAUUUUGGUGGAAGUCUUGAAUAUAAUGUCUUGAUUUCUUGCAAGUCGAUUGACAUGAAGAUGACUGACGAUUUCAGUUGGGAGGCAAGAAAAUUGGGAUUGUGGGAUUGGGCAGCAUUGGCAUAGAAGUCGCAAGGAGACUCGAGGCAUUUGGCUGUAUAAUAUCGUACAACUCACGGGAGAAGAAAUCAUUUGUUCCAUACCCAUUUUAUGCAGACAUCCGUGAACUUGCAGCUAUAUCUGAUGUCCUUGUACUGUGCUGUGCUUUAACCAAGCAAACUCAUCAUCUCAUCAACAGGGAGGUUCUGCUGGCGCUCGGAAAGGAAGGAUUAAUUGUGAAUAUUGCUCGUGGGGCUAUAAUUGAUGAGAAGGAGCUGGUGCAGUGUUUGCAGCAAGGACUAAUAGCUGGUGCUGGGUUGGAUGUGUUUGAAAUUGAGCCUCAUGUUCCUCAAGUGCUUUUAACGCUAGAGAACGUUGUAUUGUCACCUCACUGUGCUGCCUUCACCGAGGAAUCUUUUGGGGAUUUAUAUGAACUCAUGUCUGAUAAUUUGGAAGCUUUUUUUUCAAAUAAGCCCUUGCUUUCUCCGGUUUUAGACUAUCAAUCAUAAUCCCCCUCUUACAUAUAUUGCUAU